AUUGAACGCUGGCGGAAUGCUUUACACAUGCAAGUCGAACGGUAGAGGGGGCAACCCCUCGAGAGUGGCGAACGGGUGAGUAAUAUAUCGGAACGUGCCCAGUCGUGGGGGAUAACGUAGCGAAAGGUACGCUAAUACCGCCUACGAUCUAAGGAUGAAAGCGGGGGAUCGCAAGACCUCGCGCGAUUUGAGCGGCCGAUAUCAGGUUAGGGAGUUGGUAGGGUAAAGGCUCACCAAGAAAACGAACUGUAGCUGGUCUGGGAGGACGACCAGCCACACGGGGAGUGUGCCACGCUCAAGACUUCUACGGGAGGCAGCAGUGGGGAAUUUUGGACAAUGGACGCAAGUCUGAUCCAGCCAUUCCGCGUGCAGGAUGAAGGCCCUCGGGUUGUAAACUGCUUUUGUACGGAACGAAAAGGUCUCUCUUAAUACGGGGGACUCAUGACGGUACCGUAAGAAUAAGCACCGGCUAACUACGUGCCAGCCGCCGCCGUAA
Molecule: ribosomal RNA, 496 nt
Filed under: uncultured bacterium
Lineage: Bacteria
Description: partial 16S ribosomal RNA
Rfam family: Bacterial small subunit ribosomal RNA
Source: RNAcentral